This 73-nucleotide transfer RNA is filed under the name Actinomycetota bacterium. RNAcentral's name for it is "tRNA-Thr". It matches the Rfam family "tRNA". From Rfam's summary of the family: Transfer RNA (tRNA) molecules are approximately 80 nucleotides in length. The record is from RNAcentral. Lineage: Bacteria; Bacillati; Actinomycetota.
CGCCCUCUUAGCUCAGAUGGUAGAGCACCUCCAUGGUAAGGAGGGGUCAACGGUUCGAGUCCGUCAGAGGCUC